Molecule: ribosomal RNA, 820 nt
Filed under: Microbacterium sp. DJSD19
Lineage: Bacteria; Bacillati; Actinomycetota; Actinomycetes; Micrococcales; Microbacteriaceae
Description: bacterial SSU rRNA
Rfam family: Bacterial small subunit ribosomal RNA
Source: RNAcentral
CAGCCUGAUGCAGCAACGCCGCGUGAGGGAUGACGGCCUUCGGGUUGUAAACCUCUUUUAGCAGGGAAGAAGCGAAAGUGACGGUACCUGCAGAAAAAGCGCCGGCUAACUACGUGCCAGCAGCCGCGGUAAUACGUAGGGCGCAAGCGUUAUCCGGAAUUAUUGGGCGUAAAGAGCUCGUAGGCGGUUUGUCGCGUCUGCUGUGAAAUCCGGAGGCUCAACCUCCGGCCUGCAGUGGGUACGGGCAGACUAGAGUGCGGUAGGGGAGAUUGGAAUUCCUGGUGUAGCGGUGGAAUGCGCAGAUAUCAGGAGGAACACCGAUGGCGAAGGCAGAUCUCUGGGCCGUAACUGACGCUGAGGAGCGAAAGGGUGGGGAGCAAACAGGCUUAGAUACCCUGGUAGUCCACCCCGUAAACGUUGGGAACUAGUUGUGGGGUCCAUUCCACGGAUUCCGUGACGCAGCUAACGCAUUAAGUUCCCCGCCUGGGGAGUACGGCCGCAAGGCUAAAACUCAAAGGAAUUGACGGGGACCCGCACAAGCGGCGGAGCAUGCGGAUUAAUUCGAUGCAACGCGAAGAACCUUACCAAGGCUUGACAUAUACGAGAACGGGCCAGAAAUGGUCAACUCUUUGGACACUCGUAAACAGGUGGUGCAUGGUUGUCGUCAGCUCGUGUCGUGAGAUGUUGGGUUAAGUCCCGCAACGAGCGCAACCCUCGUUCUAUGUUGCCAGCACGUAAUGGUGGGAACUCAUGGGAUACUGCCGGGGUCAACUCGGAGGAAGGUGGGGAUGACGUCAAAUCAUCAUGCCCCUUAUGUCUU